This 465-nucleotide ribosomal RNA is filed under the name Vreelandella stevensii. Its description in RNAcentral is "partial 16S ribosomal RNA". It matches the Rfam family "Bacterial small subunit ribosomal RNA", at positions 338 to 795 of the family's 1533-position model. Lineage: Bacteria; Pseudomonadati; Pseudomonadota; Gammaproteobacteria; Oceanospirillales; Halomonadaceae. The record is from RNAcentral.
CCUACGGGGGGCAGCAGUGGGGAAUAUUGGACAAUGGGCGAAAGCCUGAUCCAGCCAUGCCGCGUGUGUGAAGAAGGCCUUCGGGUUGUAAAGCACUUUCAGUGGGGAAGAAAGCCUUGGGGCUAAUACCCUCGAGGAAGGACAUCACCCACAGAAGAAGCACCGGCUAACUCCGUGCCAGCAGCCGCGGUAAUACGGAGGGUGCGAGCGUUAAUCGGAAUUACUGGGCGUAAAGCGCGUGUAGGCGGUCUGAUAAGCCGGUUGUGAAAGCCCCGGGCUCAACCUGGGAACGGCAUCCGGAACUGUCAGGCUAGAGUGCAGGAGAGGAAGGUAGAAUUCCCGGUGUAGCGGUGAAAUGCGUAGAGAUCGGGAGGAAUACCAGUGGCGAAGGCGGCCUUCUGGACUGACACUGACGCUGAGGUGCGAAAGCGUGGGUAGCAAACAGGAUUAGAUACCCUAGUAGUC